UACGGAGGGUGCGAGCGUUGUCCGGAAUCACUGGGCGUAAAGGGCGCGUAGGCGGCUGGUGAAGGCUUGUGUGAAAGUCCGGGGCUCAACCCCGGAUCGGCACGGGCGACUCGCUGGCUGGAGCCCACUAGAGGCGGGUGGAAUUCCGGGUGUAGCGGUGGAAUGCGUAGAUAUCUGGAGGAACACCGGUGGCGAAGGCGGCAUCCUGGACCAACACUGACACUGAGGAGCGAAAGCCAGGGGAGCAAACGGG
This 253-nucleotide ribosomal RNA is filed under the name uncultured bacterium. RNAcentral describes it as "partial 16S ribosomal RNA". It matches the Rfam family "Bacterial small subunit ribosomal RNA", at positions 524 to 776 of the family's 1533-position model. The record is from RNAcentral.